This 1050-nucleotide long non-coding RNA is filed under the name Amborella trichopoda. RNAcentral describes it as "long non-coding RNA (ATRI_LNC004242)". Lineage: Eukaryota; Viridiplantae; Streptophyta; Magnoliopsida; Amborellales; Amborellaceae. The record is from RNAcentral.
AAUAACAAGAAAAUGCGGUAUAAUACCAUACGCUGGGGAGUAUCUAUGUUCCAUUACUAAUAUAUAAUGCAAAAUAUGUAAGUUGAGGAAAAAAACAGUGCCCAUAGGUUUAUCAACAGUGCCCCGAAGAUGUACAUCUAUAUACACUUCUAUGUGCAUUAAACAGAACCAGUCUAACCAAAAUACAAUGAAGAGUAUAUACACAGCAGCACAAGUGUAUUAGCAGAAUUUUUAUACGAAACAAGAAAAUAUACGAAUGAACAACAAGAAAUACGUAGCUGCCUUUAUCUGUAUGUGACAGUACUGAUAAUACAAUGAAGAAUUAGGAAAGAGUGGAGAAAGCCAGGAAAGAGAGAAAUUGCUGCCCUCCACUAGAAAACUACAAAGGGAGAGAUAAAUGACUCCCCUCUGAUAAAAAACUAAACCCUAUGAACACGAAGUGAACUUCCUCUCAGAAACUAAAUCUCAUGAGAAUACAAGUAAACUUCCCCUCAAAAACUACAAUGAAGAAAAAGCCCCAAACCACAAUGAAGAAAAAGCCCUAAACUGAAAGCCCUAAAAUGAAACCAGUAAUGCAUUAUUCCAGACCUUCGUUGUGCUAUGUAGAGAGAGAGAGAUGCCCUAAUGGUACAACCAGGGCAACUUUGAAAUGUGCUUCUUUGUGCCCUGUCUUUGUGCUCUGAGAAAGAGAUAGAGAUUUCUCAGCAUAGAGAGAGGGGUUUUAUUUCGCUAUCUCAGCAGAGAGAGAGGUUGCCUCGUUGUGCUUCGUUGUGCUCUGAGGAAGAGAUGGAGCGUUCUCAGUAGAGAGAGAGGGGGGUUAUAAUCUCCCUUGCUCAGUAGAGAGAGAGGGGGGGUCUAAUCUCCCUUGCUCAGUAGAGAGAGAGAGAUUGCCUCAGGUUUCAUUUACAGAGAGCAGAGCGCGAAUGAGAGAGGGUGAGAUGAGAGAGAGACAACCCUGAGUACUCACUGCCAACACCAUUCCAAAUUUUAAUAACGCUCUCUCGCUCAUCUAACCGUUCAAUUGCGACAUGCUCAUCGAGCUGUUCGGCG